CUCCUGCCUGGGCCCUGCAGGCUGUUCAGUUUGCAGGCCUUAGUGUAGACACAGCUUGAAUGUCUUCCCAGAGCCAGGGAUCCUGCAAUAAGAGGGUCUGGCACACCUAGGAGGCAGGCAUGUGCUCUCUGUGAAGACAACCAGCCCUCAUCCAGGUUCUUGUUCUUUCUCUCUCUCUCUCCCUUUCUCAUUAUUGGAACUAAACCUAGACUUGAUCAGCAUCUUCACAGGUCACGUGAGUUGACAAAAUAUGAGAAAGCCUUUGGGAUGAGAAAACGUAUUCACUCCACAAUCAUUUAUUGAAUUUUCACUUUAUGCCCAGGCACUGAUCUGGAGAUACAUCAAUGCACCAAACAAACCAAAAUUUUGCCCUUAUGGGGCUGGUACUCUAGCAUCAUCCAUGCUUUACUAUGAAUGAAUUGUAGAUGUGAUGGCUGGAGUUCAAGCAGCCAUCUUGUGCCAUAAGAUGAAAACUACACACUGAGGAUGGUGGAGCAUCAAGAGAGAAGGAGCCUGAGUCUGUGAGGACUUCUUAAAGCUGCUCUGCCAGCCCUGGGCAUUCAAAUUUUUUAUAUAUGUAAAAGAAAAAUAAAUUCCUAUUUUGGUUAAACCCUUGUUACUUGGAUUUUCUGUCAGUUGCAAAUACCAUAUUCCUAAACCCUAGUUGAUAUAGGUAGUAGGUAUAUUCCAAAUGGAGUACUUGCUUCCCACCCUCACUCCUUGCCAUGCAGUAGGCACACUUCCCUUAGCCCCCUCCACUGAUCUUAAAUAUGGUACAGGAUGAAGUACAUUUACCUCACGACGACAACAAAGAAUACUGUGAAACACAAAUGUUAAAUAUACACGCCUGUUAUAUCCAGUCACUGAAUAUUCCUAGACGGGCUCAGACUUGAUCUUCACCUCACCCACACCUGCUGAAGCUCUAUUUUUACCCUGACCUACAGGGCAAGCUCUCAGGCUGAACUGGCCUCUAUUUCUGCAGGGAGACUUUGCCGAUUUCCUGGAACUCUAUGGAAGGCUCCAACUUUGGUCUUUUUCAAGGCCAUACAGUUUGAAUCUUGACUCCACCACUUUUCCGCUCUUUGACCCCAGGCAAUUUAUCGAAUCCCUCAGUAUCUCAAUUUUCUUACGUAUAAAAUGAGAAUAAUCUCGUAGUCGUUGUAAGGAUUGAAGAAGCAAUACACACAAAGCUCUUGGUGCCUAAUGAAUAAAAACUCCCCAAAG
This 1224-nucleotide long non-coding RNA is filed under the name Equus caballus (horse). RNAcentral's name for it is "lncRNA (ENSECAG00000058592.1)". Lineage: Eukaryota; Metazoa; Chordata; Mammalia; Perissodactyla; Equidae. The record is from RNAcentral.